AAGUCAGAAAAAAAAUUAAAGUCAGAAUUCUGACUUUAAUUCGUAACAACAUUUUUUAAUUAUUAUUCUGAGAUUAAAGUCAAAAUUCUGACUUUAAUUCAGAAUAAUAAAUAUUUUUAAAUCAUUAUUCUGAGAUUAAAGACAGAGUUCUGAAAUUAAUCUCAGAAUAAUUAUUUAAAAAAAAUACUAUUAUAAAUUAAAGUCAGCGUUUUGACUUUAAUCACAGAAAAAUUGUUUAAAAAAAUUAUCCUAAAUUAAAAUCAGAGUUUUGACUUUAAUCAUAGAAUAAUAAUUUAAAAAAAUUAUUACCCUGAAUUAAAGUCAGAGUUCAGAAUUAAUUUAGGAAAAUACUGUAAGAAAUUAUAUCUGUCCUUUUUUUUUUUCUAGUGGCCCUUAUGGUCUUCCGUAGCACACAGCUGUUUUAACAAUUUUAACAUGAAAAAUCACAAUAGACAAAACUCAGACAAAACGACUAAAUGAACACGAGCUGAAAUUCCUUACUGGAGCUUUAAAUCAAAUAGACAUCUGUAUAAGACUGCAGGCUUUAGCGUACGUAAGAGUGACCACGGCGUGACGUAUUGAUCAGGUAAAAGGAGAUAUAACCUCAACCACAAAACUUUAGCAGCUCUGUUUUGUUGUUUAACUGUCAGAGUUUUUUCAUCCUGAACGUUCCCUCUUUUUUUUUAAACUCUCUGAAACAGGUCAGUAUUUUGGUCCUCGUUGAGUCAAACUUCUCUCCAGGUUAGUUCUUCUUGUAAAAGCAGCUCUGUAGUCACUUUGUCUGGAAACACACUGAUGUAGCGCCCCCCUUUGGAAGCGUUUAAACUCAGCUGUGUGAUGCAAACUGAGAUAUUUUUUACAAUCUGAAAGCCGCAGGCUGAAAUAUCUCAGAGUUAGUAAUGCUAAAAGCUUUGAUAGUCAAGGUGAAGUGUUAUGAAGAGGAUCUGGGGUCCACCACUGUGUACAUACUUCUGCAAGAAUCUCUUAUUUACAGUCUCAGGCCUGAAACAUUCACCUCUGAAGGCCCUGAGAUAAGCACACACAGCUGCAGCUGCAGACCGGACUCUGAUUCAGACCUGAACGUUCAGAUCAGAUCAGAUUCAGAAGAAAGCAGAGCUCAACAACAACAAACAGCUGCCGGGGUGUCAGUGAUCAAUACGCUUCAACUGUAACUACAAGUGUGAGCUCGUCGACGUUCAAAGUGCACAAAUCAAUCAGAAAACACAGAUUCUGCAGGUUUGUUUCUGCUUUUCUUCAGACUAAAUCAAGCUGCAGGUGUGAGUCGAAUGAAAAUGUUAAACCGCAGAAAUAACCUCCAGGGAGAGGCGGACCUUCCCUGUGACCUGGAUUAAAUAUUGAUGGAUGUGAUAAUAGAGGAUGGGACGCUGGUGUCGGAGUCAGGUGAGGGGUCAGUCUUUUGUAAAUGAACUUUAGGAGGAGGGGGUUAACUCAGGCGUGUUUUCCCAGGCCCUGAAACGAGUCGUAAAAUCUCCAUUUAGAAAUGAAAUGUUAAUCGAUUUUGAUGCGACGCCGCCGCCUCCAUCAGCAGUGAGAGCGCUGCGAACACGAGCAGCUGCACUAAAAGUUAACCUUCAGAUUUAAUUAAAACUCCAGACAAGGAAAAAAAAAAACACCUCCCUCCUGACUGAUGAGUUAUUAGUUAGUGGAAUUUGCAAGUAAAUUAGUCACAUCAACCAGGCGGCCAGAUUUAUUCAGCGCUUCAUCAGGAUGUCAGGAGAGGUCGUCCUCCUGUUUUAAGGGUCACUUCUUCAGUGACGCUGGAAGAGGUUGUCGAAGUGCAAAACAAAGAUGGUGAAAUGAAAAUCACUCAUCAUCGAACCUUUAAAACGUCUCAUAAAUGUGGUUUUUAGAGGAUAUUUAGCUGAGAAUCUUUAAGUAAUAAAGACGUCUGCGUCCGUGAUGGAGGUCGUAAAAGAAAACCAAACAAAAACCACGACUGUGUUUCUCUUUUCUGGAAACUACGACUGAGAUUUCCUGGAAUAUCAACCAAACAUCAAAUAUCUGCGGGAAGCAAUAAAGCGGUUCAGCUGAGAGUUUCUGUGUCAGAGGAAGCUGCUGUGAUGGAGUUAAAAAAGCUGCAGGACAACACUGACAUCUAGUGGAGGAAGGAGGAAACUGCAGGUUGAAAAGGUACUGCCAGAUACUUCAGUGAAAUACUUGUUGCAGCAUCAAAGUAGGACAUCACAAGGACUUGGUGUAAAGAGGAUCUACCUAAAACUGUCCAGUGGAAGAACAAUAUGAAAUGGAGAAACUCACAAAUACAAAUCUAUUCAUCUACUCUUCCAAAGGGGGCGCUACAUCAAUGUGUUUCCAAACAAAGUGACUACAGAUCUGCUUUUACAGAUUUACAAACCUGGAGAGAAGUUUGACUCAAUGAGGACGAAAAAAAACAAACCUGUUUCAGAGUCUAAAAAAAAAAAAAGGAUGAAAAAACUCUGACAGCUAAACAACCAAACAGAGCUGCUGAGGUUGGAUGAGGUUAGUUAUAUCUCAUUUUACUCGAUCAAUACAUCACACCGUGGUCACUCUUAUGUACGCCAAAGCCUGCAGUCUUAAACAGACAUCUCUUUCAUUUAAAGCUCCAGUAAGGAUCUUUCAGUUUGUGUUAAUUAAGCAGUUUUGUCUGACGAAAAUUCACAUUUUUCUGACUUUUUGACAAAUAUUGUUUAAUAUUUUAUGUUGAAAUUGUAAAUACAGCUGUCUCCUAUGGAAGACAAUUAGGGCCUCUGGAAAAAAAAGAGAAGGUCCAAAAUCAUUUUUUAAAAUCAUUUUUCUGAGAUAAAAGUCAGAGUUCUGACUUGUUUUCAGAAUAAAUAUUAUAUAUAGGACUUUUUUUUUUUUUUUUAGUGGCCCUAAUCCUCUUCCGUAGUCUCCUCCCUCACGCUGGUUUUGGCUGUUAAUAUUUACAAAAUUAAAAUAAAAAGAGACAAUAUCUAAUCUGUUCACACUACUUUAAAAAAUGGAAAAAAAAUACAGCUGUCUCCUACAGAAGACAAUUAGGGCCACCAGAAAAAAAAAAGGUCAAAAAUAAUUUUUUAAAUCAUUUUUCUGAGAUAAAACUCAGAAUUCUGACUUUUUUUCAGAAUAAUUAUUAUAUAUAGGACUUUUUCUUUCUUUUUUUUUAGUGGCCCUAAUCCUCUUCCGUAGUCUCCUCCCUCAAGCUGUUUUUUGACGUUAAAAAUUACAAAAUUGAUUUUUUUUGUGAAUGACACCAUGUUUUGUGUUUUUCUUUUUAUUUAUAUUUUUCUUUGAUCGUAUGUCUUUUUUCUGUUAUGUUCAAAAAUUGCAAAUAAAAUUUAAGUUAAAAAAAAAAAUCAGACUCCCAUUAAAGAAAGAAAGUUCGACUCCAGGAACCCAAAAACCAAGUUGGCAGGUUGGAGGUGUGGUGCAUCUCUGCAGCCCAAUAAAUUAACUGGUCCCAGUCCGGUUCCCAGACUCGACUGUGAUCUUGAGUCGAUGACCCUCCUGUUCCCAGUUCAGGUCCCUGCAGACUGUUUCAUUUUCAGGGUAAAUGUGGACUUAUCUGCUGACGUCUGAAACUUUUAAAACACAUCAUCAGUUUGGUUUUAAAAUUCUGUCCUCUGUGUUUCUGAUCCGUCAGGUGGACUCUGCCUCCUCUUCACUUAAACCAUCAUCUCAUUAUAAAUCCAGACUCAGCAGAAGGUUCUCGUCUGCAUGACCUGACUUUGGCGUUAAACGAAUCUCGUGCCUGUCGCUGAAACAUCUGCAUCUCCGCCAUUAUUCACGCAGCGUGCGCUCUUUUCCGGUUCACCUCUGAGGUCGCACAGCAGUGAGAUUUGAACUCGUGUAAAACUUUUAAUAACUAACUGCUGCUAACCUUCGGCGCCGACCUUCACGGGCUGUGAUUGAAGCGGCGGCUCGGGGGUGGGCGCUCGGCUGAAGGUUAGAGAGCGCUGUGAUGAGAGCGGAGGCUGCUGGGAGAGUAAUUGGUGUUUUUUUUCCCCUCUCUGUUAAAAAGGUUUGAUUAAAGAUGUAAAAACGUCGUGUAGAUGUGGAGACGCUUUGAGAGGCAGAGAAGACAAAGUGGACAGAUGAUGAGUUAAAGCUUUAUUACCUCUGCUCUCCUCACCUGAACGAGGCGUCUUAACAUUUCUGUCACUAUUUAAAAGGUCAA
This is a non-coding RNA of Xyrichtys novacula (pearly razorfish), 4156 nucleotides long. The record is from the annotation of a GenBank genome assembly. NCBI's taxonomy places the organism in Eukaryota, Metazoa, Chordata, Actinopteri, Labriformes, Labridae.